Anopheles coluzzii is the source of this 1059-nucleotide long non-coding RNA. RefSeq lists it as uncharacterized. The transcript has 2 exons. The record is from RefSeq and is a predicted model, not a curated record. Lineage: Eukaryota; Metazoa; Arthropoda; Insecta; Diptera; Culicidae.
GGUGUGAACACUAGGCAUGGGCAAAACGAUUCUUUUCACCGAACGCGAACGAACUAGUUCGCUCACCAAAAAGAACCGAACGUGAACGACGAUUCUUUCGUUCUUUUUUUCAUGGGGUUUUUAUUCACAAAGAACAUUCGUUAUUUUUUUCAUUUACCCACCAUAGAUGCAUACUGUAGCCAAAGAAGUACUCAUUCUGCGGUUGAAACCAAUCAUUUAAAAACAUUAAAUAAAUCAGCCCAUCUGCUGUCUGGUCAACACAAUCUAUCGCAAAACCGACCAAAAACUAGCAUGUAAAAAACUAAUACGAGCAAAAAUGUCUCCAGCAUAUAUUGUACCCUAUGUCUUAUACACACUCAAGGAUUCUAUAAAAAAAAACUACUUAAACAUGGAUAAACAUGAUGAGCGCAAUCAAUUCAGUUCAGUUCAUUCGCGAACAAUGACUAAUGCGUUUGAACGGGCUCGAUCUAUUGAAUUGUAUAGGUAUAAUUUACACACCAACAGAACACAGAUCGAACACCAGUUCGAACGCGUUCGAUGAAUUCAGUUGUGUAGGUACGAUUUCCACACCAACAGAACACAGAUCGAACACCAGUUCGAACGCGUUCGAUGAAUUCAGUUGUGUAGGUACGAUUUCCACACCAACAGAACACAGAUCGAACACCAGUUCGAACGCGUUCGGUGAAUUCAGUUGUGUAGGUACGAUUUACAUACCAACAGUACACAGAUCGAACACUAACCGAUCAGAUCGAACGCGUUCGAUGAAUUCAGUUGUGUAGGUACGAUUUCCACACCAACAGAACACAGAUCGAACACCAGUUCGAACGCGUUCGGUGAAUUCAGUUGUGUAGGUACGAUUUACACACCAACAGCACACGUAUCGAACACUGCUGGACAAAUUCGACGGCGUUCGAGCAAUUGAGUUGUAUGGGUACGAUUUCAACACCAACAGGGUACAUUUUGAUCUCUGACGACCCGUUCGCACGGUGCGAGAAAGAGCGAGAAAGCAAUAUGAUUUUGCACGUUUCAUUACCACAUUUAUGUGUGCCGUCAAACACU